This 1149-nucleotide ribosomal RNA is filed under the name Escherichia coli. RNAcentral's name for it is "partial 23S ribosomal RNA". It matches the Rfam family "Bacterial large subunit ribosomal RNA", at positions 1 to 1191 of the family's 2925-position model. Lineage: Bacteria; Pseudomonadati; Pseudomonadota; Gammaproteobacteria; Enterobacterales; Enterobacteriaceae. The record is from RNAcentral.
GGUUAAGCGACUAAGCGUACACGGUGGAUGCCCUGGCAGUCAGAGGCGAUGAAGGACGUGCUAAUCUGCGAUAAGCGUCGGUAAGGUGAUAUGAACCGUUAUAACCGGCGAUUUCCGAAUGGGGAAACCCAGUGUGAUUCGUCACACUAUCAUUAACUGAAUCCAUAGGUUAAUGAGGCGAACCGGGGGAACUGAAACAUCUAAGUACCCCGAGGAAAAGAAAUCAACCGAGAUUCCCCCAGUAGCGGCGAGCGAACGGGGAGCAGCCCAGAGCCUGAAUCAGUGUGUGUGUUAGUGGAAGCGUCUGGAAAGGCGUGCGAUACAGGGUGACAGCCCCGUACACAAAAAUGCACAUGCUGUGAGCUCGAUGAGUAGGGCGGGACACGUGGUAUCCUGUCUGAAUAUGGGGGGACCAUCCUCCAAGGCUAAAUACUCCUGACUGACCGAUAGUGAACCAGUACCGUGAGGGAAAGGCGAAAAGAACCCCGGCGAGGGGAGUGAAAAAGAACCUGAAACCGUGUACGUACAAGCAGUGGGAGCACGCUUAGGCGUGUGACUGCGUACCUUUUGUAUAAUGGGUCAGCGACUUAUAUUCUGUAGCAAGGUUAACCGAAUAGGGGAGCCGAAGGGAAACCGAGUCUUAACUGGGCGUUAAGUUGCAGGGUAUAGACCCGAAACCCGGUGAUCUAGCCAUGGGCAGGUUGAAGGUUGGGUAACACUAACUGGAGGACCGAACCGACUAAUGUUGAAAAAUUAGCGGAUGACUUGUGGCUGGGGGUGAAAGGCCAAUCAAACCGGGAGAUAGCUGGUUCUCCCCGAAAGCUAUUUAGGUAGCGCCUCGUGAAUUCAUCUCCGGGGGUAGAGCACUGUUUCGGCAAGGGGGUCAUCCCGACUUACCAACCCGAUGCAAACUGCGAAUACCGGAGAAUGUUAUCACGGGAGACACACGGCGGGUGCUAACGUCCGUCGUGAAGAGGGAAACAACCCAGACCGCCAGCUAAGGUCCCAAAGUCAUGGUUAAGUGGGAAACGAUGUGGGAAGGCCCAGACAGCCAGGAUGUUGGCUUAGAAGCAGCCAUCAUUUAAAGAAAGCGUAAUAGCUCACUGGUCGAGUCGGCCUGCGCGGAAGAUGUAACGGGGCUAAACCAUG